AUUCUUGGAGUUUAGUUUUAGUAUAAAAAGAAUCAUUUCAAAAAUUCUAUUGGAACAAAAGAAUGUUUCAAAUGAAUCCAAUUGAAUGUAAAAGAGGCCGUGCUGGGCCCUCGGGAGGUGGUGGAAAGCAGAAUUCAAUACGUACAGCUAUCAGACAUCACCAUCAACCACUGCAUUUCAAUGUCCACUGUUUAAUACUAGUGAGAGUUAGAUGUGUAUGUCAUCCAUCGUAUCAGUGCUCUUGCUCAAGAACUGGUGUAAUUAGAUGUUACUUCCUGCUACAUGUAGCGGGAAUGUUCAACAGCCAGGUCACUAAAUCAGAUGUCGCGGUUCGCUAGAAGAUUACCCACAUGACCAACAAAAUCUGACCAAUCACGACUUCGCCUACAACUGGUUCCAGCAACAAUACCAUCUUUUCGUGCCUUUUUCUCUGAGCCUAUCCAUCAGUGUAUAUUCCGUACAUCUUAACUACCUGACAAAGAGCACUGACAGAUGCCAUAUGAGAUGGCCAACAAUGACGGAAGACAACAACUGACAACACAAAGAACAUUACAAGCAGUUUAGCACACUAACUCCUGCUACAACAACACCAAGAACAACAACAUUGGAA
Octopus bimaculoides (California two-spot octopus) is the source of this 610-nucleotide long non-coding RNA. RefSeq lists it as uncharacterized. Lineage: Eukaryota; Metazoa; Mollusca; Cephalopoda; Octopoda; Octopodidae. The record is from RefSeq and is a predicted model, not a curated record.